This 104-nucleotide ribosomal RNA is filed under the name uncultured bacterium. RNAcentral describes it as "partial 16S ribosomal RNA". The record is from RNAcentral.
AAGGCCUUCGGGUUGUAAAGCACUUUGUCCGGGAAGAAAUGCCCUGGGAUAAUACCCUGGGGAGCUGACGGUACCGGAAGAAUAAGCACCGGCUAACUACGUGC